This 379-nucleotide ribosomal RNA is filed under the name uncultured eukaryote. Its description in RNAcentral is "partial 18S ribosomal RNA". It matches the Rfam family "Eukaryotic small subunit ribosomal RNA", at positions 592 to 976 of the family's 1831-position model. The record is from RNAcentral.
CAAUAGCGUAUAUUAAAGUUGUUGUGGUUAAAAAGCUCGUAGUUGAACCUUGGGCCUGGCCGUCCGGUCCGCCUCACCGCGUGUACUGGCUCGGCCGGGCCUUUCCCUCUGUGGAACCCCAUGCCCUUCACUGGGCGUGGCGGGGAAACAGGACUUUUACUGUGAAAAAAUUAGAGUGCUCCAGGCAGGCCUAUGCUCGAAUACAUUGGCAUGGAAUAAUAGAAUAGGACGUGUGGUUCUAUUUUGUUGGUUUCUAGGACCGCCGUAAUGAUUAAUAGGGACAGUCGGGGGCAUCAGUAUUCAAUUGUCAGAGGUGAAAUUCUUGGAUUUAUUGAAGACUAACUACUGCGAAAGCAUUUGCCAAGGAUGUUUUCAUUAA